UCAUCUUUAAGGAAUGUCUUUCUUGAUUACAGGAAAACAUUUGACUUGGUCGAUCAUACCCAUUUGAUUGCUAAACUAUAUAGUCUUGGUGUCAAACCAUGUGCAGUGAACUGGAUCACUGAUUUUUUACGUAAUAGAUGGCAGAGGGUGAAAUUAAACGAUAACUGUUUCUCCGACUGGUUAGAGAUUCCAGCUGCAUGGUGUCCCCCAAGGUACACGACUUGGUUCCUGGCUGUUUUUGGCCAUGAUAAAUGAUAUACCUUUCCUGAAGACUCCUCCAUAAUGUGGAAAUUUGCCGAUCAUAUCACGGACUCCGAAGUCAUUAAUAAAUCAGAA
Non-coding RNA from Paramuricea clavata, 336 nucleotides. NCBI's taxonomy places the organism in Eukaryota, Metazoa, Cnidaria, Anthozoa, Malacalcyonacea, Plexauridae. The record is from the annotation of a GenBank genome assembly.